AAAAAUUUUAAUUUUGGAUUAAAUAUUAAUUUUAUCUAUUUAAAAAUUAAAUAUUUAUUUAAUAAAUAUUAAUUAUAAAUAAAUUUAUGAAUGAAAAAAUUUAAAUAAUUAUUUAAAUUUAAUAAAAAAUUUUAUUUAAGAAAUAAUUUUUUUAUAGAAAUAGAUAUAAUAAAAAUAAAAUUUGUGCCAGCAAUUGCGGUUAAACAAAUUUUAUAAAUUAAUAAUUUUAAUUUUAAUAAAUUUGUAAAUUUAAUUAAUUAUUAUAAUUGAUAUUUUAUGGUGAAAUAUAGAUAUUAAUUUAAAAUUAAAAAAUUAUAAGUGAAAAUUUAAUAUUUAAUUUAUAAACUAGGAUUAGAUACCCUAUUAUUAUUAUUUAAUAAAAUAAAAUAAUUGAUUAUUAUUUGAUAAAUCAGUAAAUUUAAAAAAUAUUGGCAGUAUUAUAUUUUAUUCAGAGGAAUUUGUCCUAUAAAUGAUAAUACACGAUAGGAAAUACUUUAUAUAUAAGUUUAUAUAUUUUCGUUAUAUAAAAAUUUUUAAAAAAUUAUUUUUAUUUUUAUUAAAUUAUAUUGAAUUUCAGAUCAAAAUGUAGCUUUUAUAAAGAAGAGAUGAAUUACAUUAAAUUAUUAAAAUUUAUGAAUUAGAAAAUUUAAUUUUUUUAUGAAAAUGGAUUUGAAUGUAAAUUUAAUUAAUUAAUUAAUUUGAAAUAAAAUUAUAAUAUGUACAUAUUGCCCGUCAUUUUCAUUUAAAAUGAAACAAGUCGUAACAUAGUAAAUUUACUGGAAAGUAAAUUUAGAAUUUA
RNAcentral lists this non-coding RNA (799 nucleotides) under Ichneumonidae sp. MT-2014. Lineage: Eukaryota; Metazoa; Arthropoda; Insecta; Hymenoptera; Ichneumonidae. The record is from RNAcentral.